GUAACACGUAUCCAACCUGCCGUCUACUCUUGGACAGCCUUCUGAAAGGAAGAUUAAUACAAGAUGGCAUCAUGAGUCCGCAUGUUCACAUGAUUAAAGGUAUUCCGGUAGACGAUGGGGAUGCGUUCCAUUAGAUAGUAGGCGGGGUAACGGCCCACCUAGUCUUCGAUGGAUAGGGGUUCUGAGAGGAAGGUCCCCCCACAUUGGAACUGAGACACGGUCCAAACUCCUACGGGAGGCAGCAUG
This 246-nucleotide ribosomal RNA is filed under the name uncultured bacterium. RNAcentral describes it as "partial 16S ribosomal RNA". It matches the Rfam family "Bacterial small subunit ribosomal RNA", at positions 110 to 353 of the family's 1533-position model. The record is from RNAcentral.